GGACCCUUAGCUCAGUCGGUCAGAGCGGUCGGCCCAUAACCGACAUGUCGAAGGUUCGAGUCCUUCAGGGUCCA
This 74-nucleotide transfer RNA is filed under the name Erysipelotrichaceae bacterium. RNAcentral describes it as "tRNA-Ile". It matches the Rfam family "tRNA". From Rfam's summary of the family: Transfer RNA (tRNA) molecules are approximately 80 nucleotides in length. The record is from RNAcentral. Lineage: Bacteria; Bacillati; Bacillota; Erysipelotrichia; Erysipelotrichales; Erysipelotrichaceae. RNAcentral also lists the same sequence under 2 other names.